UUUGGAGGCCCUCCGCUUUUCAUUUCUCAAAUCUCAUCCGCUCGCACGCUCCUCAUACGCUGCUCCUCUACUCAAAAGUUUCUCUUCUUCAGUGUCUUCACCUUGGCCGCCAACGUUCCUGUCUCUGUCGCCAUCGCUAUCAUCCUUUAGUGGUCUUAUUCGUUGAAGCCAACAAAGUCUAAAAAGAUGUUUCUACAGCCCGUGGAACCCUAAGCUUCGAAUAACGGCGCUCUCUGCUUCUCUUCGAGCUCUAAUAAGGUGAAAGUGUCGAUGCACUGUGGCAGUUGAAGCUGUUCUUAUAGGUCAGCAUGGGAUUUGAUAAUGAGUGCAUAUUAAACAUUCAAACUUUAGCUGGAGAGUACUUCUGCCCUGUCUGUCGCUUGCUUGUUUACCCAAAUGAGGCUCUACAGUCACAAUGCACUCAUUUAUACUGCAAGCCCUGUUUGACUUACAUUGUGAGUACUACACGGGCUUGCCCUUAUGAUGGCUACUUGGUGACUGAAGCAGAUUCCAAGCUGCUUGUAGAAUCAAAUAAAACUCUUGCUGAAACCAUUGGCAAAAUAGCAGUUCAUUGUCUCUACCACAGGAGUGGAUGCACAUGGCAGGGACCUUUAUCUGAGUGCACAUCUCAUUGUAGUGGAUGUGCAUUUGGCAAUUCUCCUGUUGUAUGCAACAGGUGUGGGAUCCAAAUUGUGCAUCGUCAAGUACAGGAACAUGCCCAAAAUUGUCCUGGCGUGCAGCCUCAGGUGCAGCAGGCAGAGGGUGCUCAGGAUACUUCAGCCGCUGGUGGAACUGAUACUGCCAAUCAGACUCAGGCUGCCACUCAGCCUGGUGUAACAGCUACCCAGGCCCAGACUACUCAAACUGCAGCAACUACUGCUUCUGGACAGGAUCCUAAUCAGCAAGCAAACCCGAAUCCUCAAUCACAAGCUUUAGUUCAGUCUGCUGUGCCAACUCCAGAACAGUGGUAUCAGCAACAACAACAGUAUCAACAAUACUACCAGCAGUAUCCCGGAUAUGAUCCCUAUCAACAGCAUUAUCAGCAGUACUACCCCUAUCAACAGCCGGGAGUUCCACAAUACCAUCAGCAGCACUUGCAAGCUCAUCCACCACAAGUGGCUGGUCAGAAUCAACCUCUGCUUCAGCCGCAAUCCCAACCACCACCUCAGACUCUCGUCCAGCCUCAAUCUCAACCACAUCCUCAGCCCACUGGACAGCCUCCAUCACAAACACAUGCUCAAGCUCCAGCAGUUGCUCAACUUCAAAACCAGGCACAAGUUAACCUGCAACAGCAGCCACAGACUGCAGUGCUGCCACAUUCUCAAAUUCAGUCACAGACCAAUCAACCAGCCCCAGGCCAAGCUCAUCCCCAUCCCCAGCCGUAUCCCCAAGCUCAUCCCCAUCCCACCCAACCUCAUCCACAGCAACAUGUGAUGGUGCCUCAAUAUCAACAGCCUCAUCACCAGAUGCAACAUUUACAGCCCCAACCUCAUUCAGCUCAUCAUCAAGCACCAGUCCAACAACAUUCCCAGCCACAUCCGUACCUAAAUCCUAAUGUCCAGCCUCAGAUGCAGCAUCCGCCAGCCCAUGAUGUCACGGGCCAUCAAUCAUAUCCUCAGCUUCACCAACAAAUGCAUCUAGUAGCCCCACAACAGCAUACAAUGCACAUGAACCCUCAAGGUGGGCCUCAUCCACAGCCGCAACAUUCUGGUCAAGCUCCAAGUCAAUUCCCUCAACAACAUCCUCCUAUGCGUCCACCCCCUUCUACUGCUUCAAUUCCAAAUCAGCAACAGGCUGCUUUGUUACCAUUGCCAGGUCAAGUCCAGAACAUCCAUCCUGCACAACAGCAGCCAGUUCAACAAUCUGGACACUUAAUCCACCAGCGCCCUCCUAUACAGCCAGGUCAACAGAUUAUGGCUCAGCAACAUGUGCAGCAGCAGCAGCAGCAGCCUUUUGUACCGCAAAGUUCAUUUCUGCAGCAACAAAUGCCUACCCCAUCUCCAUUACGGCCCCAGGUCCCUCCUCAUUCAUAUACACAACAUACUCAUGCCUAUCCACACCUGCAGCAGAAUGCAGCAUUCUCACAUGGUUCUCAAAAUGUUGCCGGAAGGCCUAUGGUGCCAAAUCAUGCAGUACAAUCACAGCCAUAUCCACAGUAUGCUGGUGGUGUUCAGGCCAGGCCUAUGCAUCCUGGUGCAAGCCAACCAUCUGCAAGUCUGAACAAUAUGCUCAGGAGUGAGAUUCAAGCACAAGUGUCUACUGAACAGCAGUCUGGGGCAACUUCAAGGUCAACAUUGUCUGUAAGGCAAGGUGAUUAUGCAUUUGAGAAAGGCAUGGGUGACCAAACAGUUGAAUUAUCUUCAGAGAAUGCUGCCAAAAAGGUAUCGAAUGAUUCAGAUCCAGCAUCAACAUCAGCUCUUGGAGUUGAUGCUAGUGAAGUAAAAAAUGUGAAAUCUGAAACUGAUAUCAAGUCCAAGGAUGAUUGUGAAUCUCAUGUCCUGGGAAAUGGAGGGCUUGUUAAGCGGAUGGUGAAGGAAGAGGGUGUGGAAAGUAAUUUGGAGAACUUUAAUGUCAGUAAAUCAGGUGAACUUGUAUCUGAGAUCAAGAAAGAUGUUUCUGAAGUAAGCCCAAGACAUUUGGGCAAUUUUGCUUUGGAAGAUAGAGAGAGAAAGGAUGAUCUUCUUUUGAAAAAUCCCCCAUUGCAUGAACCUGAACAAAUAGAAAAACUGAGUGGGAAAUUGGAGAAGGAUGCUAGUGCAAUUCAGCAGCCUUCAACGGCUGCUAAUGAAGCCUCACAAACUUUGACUAUGCCUUCAGCUCAUGUCUCAAGUAGUCCCGCUAAGAAUGUUAUCCCAAAAGGAGCCAUCUCUCAAGGUCCUGAAGUUGAUGGAUACAAAGGUCUUCCUCCACCCAGUCAGGUGCAUUCUGGGGGCUUUAUACAGUCUUCUCACCCAGGUGCAAUUGCUGAUCAGGGAAGGCAUUUUGGGUCUUCUUCUCUCCAACAAAGGCCACCUGGUGCUCCAUUGUUACAAACUCCUCCUUUUGUGCUUCCACAUCACCAACAUCCAGGAGGGCACCCUUCUGCUCAGUUUAGGCCACAAGGAUAUGGGCACAUUCCUGAGCAUUUGCAGGCCCCUGCAUCAAAGCUAUCUCUUGAAACCCCACCUGGUGGCAUCUUAGGCCCUGGCUCCACAUCAUCCUUUGGGAGGGGACCGGGGUAUUAUGAUUUUCCCCAGCGAAACUUUGAAUCGCUACCUGUUGUUUCUCAAGGGCCUCACGGUCAAGGGCAUGCACUCCCUACAAAUGCUGCAGCUUCGAGAGCGUCUCAAGGUGAAUCUGUUGGAGGGCCACCAUUUGGUAUGUUACCUCCUGGUGUGGUUGAUUCACGUGGUGGGAUGAUGGCUAGACCACAUGGCCCUGAAGGUCUGAUGGGUCAGCAGCGGCCGCCUAAUCCGAUGGAUGCUGAAUUGUUUAUAAAUCAUAGGCCAAGCUACAUGGAUAGUAGACGACCUGAUCCAAAUCUUCCUGGGUCUUUGGGACGGGGUUCAGUAGGUCAGCCUUCUGGUGUGAUGGGAAGUAAUGGUGCACCCGGUCUUGAUUCCUCAUCGACACUUGGGUUUCGAGAUGACAGGUCGAAGCUUUUCCCAGAUGAUCGUUUUAAUUCCUUUUUAGGCCGAGAAGCUGCAGAACGAGGAGAGUUUGAAGAUGGUCUCAAACAAUUCCCCAGGCCUUCUCAUUUGGAUGCAGAGCUUGGACCAAAGUUUGGGAAUUAUUCAUCAAGGCCUCGUGAGAUGGGACCCUAUGGCCUAAAUAGUGAUACUGGUUUCAAAUUGGGUCCUGGGGCUGGCAGUGCCCAUUCAGGAUUCUUGCCUUCAUAUGAUGGAGGAGAAAGACCCGUUGGUUUGCCAGAUUCUGGUCGUAAUCAUCCAGAUUUUCUUGGACCUGUUACUGGGUAUGCUCGACGACACAUGAAUGGUCUGACUCCUAGAAGUCCAAUUAGAGAAUACCAUGGUAUAUCAUCACGUGGUUUUGGAGGCAUUCCCGGCCAGUCAGGCCUAGAUGAUUUUGAUGGCAAGGAAUCACGUCGGUUUGGUGAUCCAAUUGGCAAUUCAUUCCAUGAAAGCAGGUUUCCUAUUCUGCCUGGUCAUUUGCAGAGGGGUGAGUUUGAGGGUCCUGGUAAGUUGCGAAUGGGUGAACAUUUGGGUCCACGUAACUUGCCAAGUCAUUUGCGAUUGGGAGAACCAAUUGGUUUUGGUGACUAUCCUGGUCAUGCACGGAUGGGAGAACUGCCUGGGCUGGGGGACUUUGAAUCCUUUGGUGCAGGCAACAGGCCAGGUCAUCCACGAUUUAGGAGCAAUUUUUCUCUUCAGGGAUUUCCAAAUGAUCGUGGAAUCAAUACAGGAGACACAGAGUCUUUUGGUAACCCGAGGAAGAGGAAGGCAGCUAGCACAGGAUGGUGCCGAAUCUGUAAAGUUGACUGCCAAACAGUUGGAGGCUUGGAACUGCACUCACAAACAAGGGAGCACCAGAAGAUGGCUAUGGAUAUGGUACGGACCAUCAAACAGAAUGCAAAGAAACAGAAAUUAUCAUCUAGUGACCCUUCCUCAGUUGAAGAUGCAAGCAAGUCUAAGAAUACCAGUUUGGAUGGCCAUGGGAAUAAGCAUUGACUGAUACGUUGAUUCCCUGUUUGCGGAGAUGGCUUUGGAACUGAAUUGCAGUGGCAAUUUACCAUUCAACCUGUCUUUUUUCGGCGAAGCAGACAACAAAUUGGCCAAAAGUUCAGUGGAAAGGUUUACUCCGUCUCCUUUUAUGGAUGUGGUAAGAAUGUGUUGGAUGGCAUAUUUUUUUAGUAGAAAAAGUUCGCUUCUUGGUAUUGAUUUUCCUGAAAUUGGUGACUUUUUGCGAGAUUGUUUUGUUUCCUUCUUGACGUACCGAUCAUGCUGUGUAGAACCGUGAAUGGUUUGAUAUUUUUUGUGAGUUUUAUAAAUGAAAUUUAACAGGUAGGAUAGGUGGAGGAAUUUGAGUGUGUUCCACUGGGAAUUGUAUUGAAUACUAGUUUAGGUUGCUAAAUUAAUUAUGCAUUAUGAUUAGUGCACUUAUGGUCAUUCAUUUUUCCUUAUCCUGAGAUAUGCAGAUAACAUGGUUUGGGCUGAUGGAUUGUGGAGUAUUUUACAUCUUUUUUAAAAGUAGGGUAUUGUAAGACCUAGGGGAAGACCUAGACACCUGCAAUAUAUUGUCAAAAAGGCUACGGUCAAGGUGAAGCUUCUCUAGAAUUGGUUAUAAAACCUAGCUUCACCUAGUUAAUGUGGGACUUAGUCCCUAUGACUUAACUUUUUAUCUUACCCACUUUAUGUGGGUUAUUCAUAUUCCCCAUGUGGGACUAAGGUAGUACAAAUUCUCCCUCCCUCUUAAAUUCUUGACAUAUUCAUCCAGACCAUGUCAUGCAGUGCUAGUAGUAUCACAUGAUUGGCCUUACUGACUAGAAAAAAUAAACGUGAUUGGCCUUACUAGGUGAGUGUGAUGCCAUAUGCAACAACCCAGGGAAAGUGCUUAUAAAGAUUAGUCAGUCUAAAGUCUCCCAAAAAUUGCUUAUAAAGCCCAAAUUCAUCUAAAAGUAGCCGAUGUGGGACAACACCCAUAACUACUUUAUAAUACUCACUCUGUUGGUUAUUUAUAUUCCCAAUGUGGGACCUUGUUACAGGUAUUGAGGUUGAAGGAUAAUUUGGACAUUUUAGUAGAAAUUGAAAUGUGUUACUUCUUCUAUAAUAAUCCUGGUGAUCAAGAAUAGGAUAUUCUUGAAGGAAUGAAGGUUUUAGUUUAACAUUUUGUUUUGAUCUCUGAAGUUCAUUCAGUGAUUGAGAAAGGAAUGUACGGAUUAGUUUGAGCAGGUUAUUUUGUUAGAUUAUUUGCUCAAUGGAUUUUGGUUUAUAUUAAAGGCUUGGGGCAUGUCCAUGCCCUUUUUGUAGCCAACAUUUAUUCUAACUUUUUUGGUGUGUCUAUUUGAAUUGCCAAGCUGUGAGUCAAAGCUGAUUUAUUAGGGAAUUGGUGUUUGCCACAUAGGUUUGUUUGCUGCCGCCGGAGUCCUGCAAAAUUGUUACUACUUGUUUACAGAACUGCAUUCUGCUUCUAACAUAUGGGUGAGACUAUAUUUAGGCAUUUUCAGUCUGGUGAAUUUGAUCCAUUGUUUUUCUACACUUGAGGUGGGAUUUAAUGUCAUGCUUGGGGUGCAACCUAUGGCUUGAUUUUAUAGGUUUUGUACGCUUCUGUGACUAUUUGUAUGUCUGAAGUACCUGCAUAAACUCUUAACUAAUUUUGACAUGUCAAUACUGUAUCUAAUAUGUAGUAUAGAAGAUGAAUUUCUUAUCUUUAAGAUGCAAGCCUAUAUGACUAUGAGGUUGUCAGUCUAGCAUUAGAAUCAAGAUAAAAUGUAGUAAAUCACAAUAAUAUAGGCUUGUGAUCCCCUACUUUUCUAUUUUGGUAGGGAACAUCAAGAUACUAAUUGACUUGUUGCCAAGUGGUACUUGUACAAAAAAAAAAAAAAACCAUCAUGUUUGCAGGAUUUGUGGUAUCUGAUUGUUUAGCAACUAACAUAAAGGAGGCUGGCGAGUAAGAUUCCUUCUUAAAAUGACCUGCACUAAAUUAGAUCAGUUGGAUCACUAGACAAAAUACCUCUGCCACAAUUGGAAGCAAUGGGAUCAUGUGAUCAACAACAAUCAUUUUAUAGUCUUAAUAGAGCAAACUAUAAAGUAGUCUAACAGGAUCCGCUGUAGCCCAAGUGUGGAAAAAAAAAAAACAUAAAAGCAGACUUUAACAAACUAAACCAACCUCAUAAAUUAAGGCAUCAAGCCUUGGAAAUUUUUAGAAAGCUAUACCACCUGUUCCAGCCAUUGUAACUACAAUUAGUUUUCUUGUAGUUUUUUUUUUUUUUUGUGUUGGGGGUGUUGUUUUGUGUGUUUAGCUUUUUUAUUAGUGUGCCUUCUCUGUACUUGAUUUGCUUGUGUUCCAUGUUGAUCUUUUUAGUCUUCAUUAUGGUUGUGGAAACAUAUGUAGUAUGAUCAUUACUACCUGUAUAAAUCCUCUGAUAAUUAUUAACUGUAAGUGUCCUUUACCUAUGGGGUUCCUACUGUCAAUUAUGUGCCAUGUAAAAACCUUGAUCAUGUUGAAAACAAUACCUGAUUAUGGUAAUUUCUAAUUGAAACUUCAAUACCACGAUCUUCUUGACACUUUGCAAAAACCCUUUAUAUUGAUUCCCAAUAGUAAUACCAGCAAUUAGCUGAAUAUUGUUUGCCUCUGAAUGGAAGAUUCUUGUUUUUUACAGUUAUUGUCAUUUGAGAAUUUUGUAUACUUCAUAAAACUUUUCAUCGUAGUUUUUAUUAUGUGAAACUUGGGUUUUAUUGAAGUUAUGGAGUGACCUUUUCGAAGUGGAUGGCAGUUGUGGAAUCCAAACCUGCUUGAUCAUGUUUUCACCAGGUUUGUGGUUUUCAAGUCAAUGUUUUUCUGGUGGUUAGAAUUUCAAUCUUAAAUAGUAGCUUUCUUUCUGGUUUUUGCUUUUAGUUUACCUUUAAGCUUGUAUGAAACGCUUAUGCACCAUAUUUCUAUUUAGUAGAUACUGGUGGUCAAAAAUUUGAAAUUGAUUAGGGUGCACGCCAUUGACAUCUAUUGAUUUUUAUUGUAUUGUUCUCUUUUUCUGAUUAGGUGUUUAUCUUGUAUACUUUCUGUUGCCAAUAUUAUCAAUAGAAUCUAUAUACUCGUAAAAAAAAUUUAUUAGAAAUUGAUUAGGAUUUAAAAACAUUUAUUUCUUUCGAUCAUUAAGUAUUUUAUAUAUUAGGUACUUCUGAAAAUAAAGUAUUUUAUAUAGUUAGAGAAGUCUAAACGUAGUUUGAUGCAUUAAAUAGCUUAGUUAUUUAAGGCCUCUUUUAGAAAAUGAAGCGUAAGAUGGUAAUAAACAACAAUCUACUUGUUUAUGGAUGGUUGGCUGCCUACAAACGUCUUCGUUUUUCAUGAUCGUGCUGGAAAUCUCCAAAGGUGGACAAGGCAUAGACUAGGGUAUCAAUAUGAGCAUAAUACUUGCACUAUAUACCAGCAUGGAGGUCAUAGGCAUCAGUGAGCAGCCAUACUAUGGAUACUUGUGCUAGAUAUAUAAUGCCGUUCCAGUGAUUACAAACUUGUUACAUUAUGAUGGAAUAGAUGUGGUCCUACAGAAAUCCUAAUGCUUUUACGGUGGAUAGAACAUUGUAGCUAACUUUUAGAUAAUACAAUAAAAAGCCUGUUGAUUUAACCCCGGAUGUCAAUUCCUUGGAUGUGAGGGUUUACUCUUUUUUUUUUUUAGUUGUUCAAAUGCUGGCAAUGCUUCUUAUUUAUUUUUUUUUUUUCCAUAAUAAUGAUGUUAACUCACCACAAGAUGUAUCUUGAAUCUGUAUUUGAUGACCCAAAUUAGGCUGUUUCAGUGGUACUUGGAAUUAAUUAUAGAGUCCAGCAAAUUCCUUUCGAUUAAUUAUCUCUAAUUCUUCUUAGUUCUGCAUAUAUGCUUGAUGGUGAAACCUGUUUCCUUUAUGAGCGUCUUGUAAGUUCUUUUCUGAAUGUUUUUGAUCAUAUGUUUGAAUCAAUUCCCAAAAAAACCGCGAAUUUACUUUCUCAUAACUCUGAAGAAGCUUGUUGAUUUUCAUAUUUGUCGACAUCAUAGUUUCCCACAAAAAAUUGUAUAUCAUUAAGAUCAAUGAUACAUCCAAAUUUUCAGAUGGGUAGGAUUCCAUCAAGGAUUGGGAUAGGGAGGGGCUAACUGUUGGGCUCCUAAAUUUUGGUGUUCUACAUGCUGUGCAAAGUAAAAGGGCUACAACUCGCAUAUGAAAUUACAUGUUGCCCGAACAAAUAAACAAGUAAAAAACUUGAGAUUACAUGAUAUAGGCUCCGAAGAUUCUCGUAUGGUUAGAGAGAUUUGCACAAACUUUAGCAAAAUAAACUAGAUUUCGUAAAAGAUUAACAUAUCUAAAUUGAUAUUAAGCUUAAGAUUCUACGGCAGCAUCAUACGGACUUAGCCUCCGUAAUUAAUGAUUUUAUCAUCAUGAUCAAUGUCCGCUAAAGCUGCGGUCCCUUUUGAAGCAAUACCCUCCUCUUUAUAAUGUCCUAGGAACAUUAAAGGAGAUGUUCUAGAGAGAAUUGUGUUGUAGCAUGUUGGGUUUUGUGCGACAUGAAAAAUAAUCCGCCCCCCCCCCCCC
RNA transcript from Carya illinoinensis, 9215 nucleotides. It is a transcript of the gene named filaggrin-2-like, with no coding region annotated. NCBI's taxonomy places the organism in Eukaryota, Viridiplantae, Streptophyta, Magnoliopsida, Fagales, Juglandaceae. The transcript has 8 exons. The record is from RefSeq and is a predicted model, not a curated record.